RNAcentral lists this ribosomal RNA (744 nucleotides) under uncultured Chloroflexota bacterium. RNAcentral describes it as "bacterial SSU rRNA". It matches the Rfam family "Bacterial small subunit ribosomal RNA", at positions 513 to 1275 of the family's 1533-position model. Lineage: Bacteria; Bacillati; Chloroflexota. The record is from RNAcentral.
AGCCGCGGUAAACGUAGGGGACAAGCGUUAUCCGGAUUCACUGGGCGUAAAGAGCGUUGAGGCGGUUCCGUAAGUUGGGCGUGAAAGCUCCGGGCUUAACUCGGAGAUGUCGUUCAAUACUGCGGGGCUUGAGGACAGCAGAGGAAGGUGGAAUUCCCGGUGUAGUGGUGAAAUGCGUAGAUAUCGGGAGGAACACCCGUGGCGAAGGCGGCCUUCUGGGCUGUUCCUGACGCUGAAGGCGAAAGCUAGGGGAGCGAACGGGAUUAGAUACCCCGGUAGUCCUAGCUGUAAACGAUGGAUGCUGGGUGUGGGGGGUGUAAAUUCCCUCUGUGCCGAAGCAAACGCGUUAAGCAUCCCGCCUGGGGACUACGGCCGCAAGGCUAAAACUCAAACGAAUUGACGGGGGCCCGCACAAGCAGCGGAGCGUGUGGUUUAAUUCGAUGCUACACGAAGAACCUUACCUGGGUUUGACAUGCACGUGGUAGGGAACCGAAAGGGGACCGACCUUCGGGAGCGCGCACAGGUGCUGCAUGGCUGUCGUCAGCUCGUGCCGUGAGGUGUCGGGUUAAGUCCCGUAACGAGCGCAACCCUUGCCCUUAGUUACAAGUGUCUAAGGGGACUGCCCGGGACAACUGGGAGGAAGGUGGGGAUGACGUCAAGUCAGCAUGGCCUUUAUAUCCAGGGCUACACACGCUACAACGGCCGGUACAAUAGGUUGCGAAGUCGUGAGGCGGAGCCAAUCCU